This 463-nucleotide ribosomal RNA is filed under the name uncultured bacterium. RNAcentral describes it as "partial 16S ribosomal RNA". It matches the Rfam family "Bacterial small subunit ribosomal RNA", at positions 28 to 507 of the family's 1533-position model. The record is from RNAcentral.
GAUGAACGCUGACAGAAUGCUUAACACAUGCAAGUCUUUGGCGAAGCUGUGCUUGCACAGCCUAGCCAAGGCGGACGGGUGAGUAACGCGUAAGGAACUUGCCCUGCAGUCAGGGAUAACAGACGGAAACGACUGAUAAGACCUGGUAAAGUCAGACGGACUCAUGUCCAGCCUGAUGAAAAGGGAUGCUGCAGGAGAGCCUUGCGUCCUAUUAGCUUGUUGGUGGGGUAACGGCCCACCAAGGCGAUGAUAGGUAGCCGGCCUGAGAGGGUGGACGGCCACAAGGGGACUGAGAUACGGCCCUUACUCCUACGGGAGGCAGCAGUGGGGAAUAUUGGACAAUGGGGGCAACGCUGAUCCAGCAAUUCUGUGUGCACGAUGAAGGUUUUCGGAUUGUAAAGUGCUUUCAGCAGGGAAGAAAAAAAUGACGGUACCUGCAGAAGAAGCGACGGCUAAAUACGUG